UCCGGUUUAACACCGGCGGUCCCAAUAGAGUUCCCGGCCUAGCCGUUGGCAACUAUUGGCAAGGGUUGCGCUCGUUGCGGGACUUAACCCAACAUCUCACGACACGAGCUGACGACAGCCAUGCAGCACCUCUGUAGCAGUCCCGAAGGAAGAGUGCAUUUCUGCACCUGUCCACCACAGUUCAAACCCAGGUAAGGUUCUUCGCGUUGCGUCGAAUUAAACCACAUGCUCCACCGCUUGUGCGAGCCCCCGUCAAUUCCGUUUGAGUUUUAAUCUUGCGACCGUACUCCUCAGGCGGAGUGCUUAACGCGUUAGCUUUGGCACUGCAGGGGUCAAUACCCGCAACACCUAGCACUCAUCGUUUACGGCGUGGACUAC
RNAcentral lists this unclassified non-coding RNA (378 nucleotides) under uncultured Myxococcales bacterium. RNAcentral's name for it is "contains 16S-23S intergenic spacer region". Lineage: Bacteria; Pseudomonadati; Myxococcota; Myxococcia; Myxococcales. The record is from RNAcentral.